Molecule: long non-coding RNA, 1857 nt
Organism: Pantherophis guttatus
Lineage: Eukaryota; Metazoa; Chordata; Lepidosauria; Squamata; Colubridae
Source: RefSeq, a predicted model, not a curated record
UAGCGUUGCUUCAGCGCAGCCAGAACUACAACGCCCGUCAAGCCCCCGCGCCGCGCAGCCUCACAAAUGAACCACCGAGACGGCAGACGGAGGGAGAGGCUUUCUUGGCUCCUGAGAAGGCGAACCCUCUCUCCGUAGCGGCCAUAUUAGCCCGAGUCGUGGCGGAGGGCGGCGGUAUGUCGGUAGUAAAGAGCUUCGCGGUUGGGAAGGCCCCUUGAAAAAGCGGAGAAGAGGCCGUCGGGAGACCGCGCUUCGUAGGUCAAUUUGGGAAGGUGACAGGUAAGAUUUAUACUGAGAGAAACAACAUGGGAUGUGCCACCCAUGUUUUAUACCAGUGUUUCUCCACCUCAGCAAAUUUUAAUGUGUGGACUUCAACUCCCAGGAUUCCCCAGCCAGCCAUGAAUUCUGGGAGUUGAAGUCCAUGUAUCUUAAAAGUUGCUCAGGUGGAGAAACACAGGUUAUCCCAUAAACAUUUUUUUGAUUAGCAAUAGAACUUAAACUUACAUUCCUCUUCAUAGUGCUUUACAGCCCUCUAAACUGCUUAAGAGAGUCAGCAUAUCAUCCCCAACAAUCUGGGUCCUCAUUUUACCGACCUCGGAAGGAUGGAAGGCUGAGUCAACCUUGAACCGGUCAGAAUCGAACUGCUGGCAAUCGGCAGAAUUAAGCUGCAGUAUUGCAUUCUAACCAUUGGAGUGGUGCGGUGGCCUAGAGGUGGAGCUCUCUUCUCACAAUCAGAAGGCUGUGAGUUCUAUGCUAGGUAGAGGCAGAUGUUUCUCUCUCUGGGCACACUGAGAAUAUAUCUGCCGAACAGAACUCCACAUUGGCAAUAGGGAGGGCAUCCGGCCAGUAAAUACUCUGCUAGCUCCAUUCAGUUGCCCAGAUUCCACCCCAUUGCAAGGGAUUACCGUGUUUCCCUGAAAAUAAGACCGUUUUAUAUUUUUUUUAAUCUCAAAAUAGCGCUUGGCCUUAUUUUUGGGGAGGUCUUAUUAUUUUGGGGCUCCUCUUGCCCUCCAUCUAACCAGGGGAAAUGGCAGGGACCGGCUGUGCAUGUGUUUAAAUAUUUUUGGGAAGGGCUUAUUUUUGGGGAGGCUUAUUUUAGCACAUGCGCGCAAAAGCCUGAAUGGGCUUACUAUCAGGGGAUGUCUUAUUUUCAGGGAAACAGAGUAUAGGGUCAUUAAAUGAAGAUGAUGAUGAUUGCACUCUAACCACUGAGCCACCAAAAUUGCUUCCAUUAACCCUUUUUGCCCCAAAAGCAAGCUUGCAAAAGUAACCAGAAUUGCUAGUCACAAACUAUGUAGCACCUGGAUGGUUUUGAAGUAUUGGGGGCAGGAAAGGGGAGAAUAGGAUUUGGAACGUUUUAGAGGGGAAACCUCCGUACAAAUCUUCAGGAAUAAGACACGAGUGUAAACGCACCCUACUAAAUCUUCAGAUUUGCAUUCUCUUUCAGGAGCUAGGAGAGCAACGGAUGUGAAACGCGACUUCUGUAGCACCUUCUCUCCGGGUAGUUUGUUCCAGCUGGGAUUAAUCUUACCGUUCCUGAACGAUGAAUCCGGAAGGGGUGAAAUUUACGCUUCUCAACCUUGGAUCCAAGUAGAUUUGAGACCACGGUGUAAAUUAGCAUGAUCAGAGGGAGCAAAUCGUAUUUUUGGACCUCUCCUUUCUACAGACAGUACGUGGGUGUAUGUUUAUUCCACGUGCUUUUCUAGAUAGUGUCAGGCUUCGUUGGCUCUUGACCAACAAAAAAACCACAAAGAUUUAUUUAGGACUUAGGUGUCUGACUGGAUUAUCAUGUUCCUCUCCGGGCGAAAAGAACAUUGUGUUUCUCUGCUAAUUAAAUCUCGCCUUCGCCAUACCCUU